CCUACGGGUGGCAGCAGUGGGGAAUAUUGGACAAUGGGCGAAAGCCUGAUCCAGCAAUGCCGCGUGAGUGAUGAAGGCCCUAGGGUUGUAAAGCUCUUUUACCCGGGAUGAUAAUGACAGUACCGGGAGAAUAAGCUCCGGCUAACUUCGUGCCAGCAGCCGCGGUAAUACGAGGGGAGCUAGCGUUGUUCGGAAUUACUGGGCGUAAAGCGCGCGUAGGCGGUUUUUUAAGUCAGAGGUGAAAGCCCGGGGCUCAACCCCGGAAUUGCCUUUGAAACUGGAAAACUAGAAUCUUGGAGAGGUCAGUGGAAUUCCGAGUGUAGAGGUGAAAUUCGUAGAUAUUCGGAAGAACACCAGUGGCGAAGGCGACUGACUGGACAAGUAUUGACGCUGAGGUGCGAAAGCGUGGGGAGCAAACAGGAUUAGAUACCCGGGUAGUC
RNAcentral lists this ribosomal RNA (440 nucleotides) under uncultured Sphingomonadaceae bacterium. RNAcentral describes it as "bacterial SSU rRNA". It matches the Rfam family "Bacterial small subunit ribosomal RNA", at positions 338 to 795 of the family's 1533-position model. The record is from RNAcentral. Lineage: Bacteria; Pseudomonadati; Pseudomonadota; Alphaproteobacteria; Sphingomonadales; Sphingomonadaceae.